CCUACGGGAGGCAGCAGUGGGGAAUCUUGCGCAAUGGGCGAAAGCCUGACGCAGCCAUGCCGCGUGAAUGAUGAAGGUCUUAGGAUUGUAAAAAUUCUUUCACCGGGGACGAUAAUGACGGUACCCGGAGAAGAAGCCCCGGCUAACUUCGUGCCAGCAGCCGCGGUAAUACGAAGGGGGGCUAGCGUUGCUCGGAAUUACUGGGCGUAAAGGGAGCGUAGGCGGAUAGUUUAGUCAGAGGUGAAAGCCCAGGGCUCAACCUUGGAAUUGCCUUUGAUACUGGCUAUCUUGAGUAUGGGAGAGGUUAGCGGAACUCCGAGUGUAGAGGUGAAAUUCGUAGAUAUUCGGAAGAACACCAGUGGCGAAGGCGGCUAACUGGCCCAUUACUGACGCUGAGGCUCGAAAGCGUGGGGAGCAAACAGGAUUAGAUACCCUGGUAGUCCACGCCGUAAACGAUGAGUGCUAGUUGUCGGCAUGCAUGCAUGUCGGUGACGCAGCUACGACAUAAGACACUCCGCCGUGGGAGGUACGGUCGCGAGAGUUAAACGUUAAAGGUAAGUUAGUUACGGACGUGAGACGUGCCGACGGCGACGACGAGGGAGGAGG
RNAcentral lists this ribosomal RNA (606 nucleotides) under uncultured bacterium. Its description in RNAcentral is "bacterial SSU rRNA". The stretch from base 1 to 519 matches the Rfam family "Bacterial small subunit ribosomal RNA", at positions 338 to 873 of the family's 1533-position model. The record is from RNAcentral.